CUCUUCUUCUGAUCCCGUGCCCUAAGCCUCUCGACGCCUCUCCCUUCUCCCCUCUCGCUCGACGCCGUCUCUCCCUCACGCAACGCCGAGCCACCGCCGCCUUCUUCCUCCCGAUCUCUUCUCCCUCAUUUGCGCCGAACACCCAAUUCCUCUCCCUUCCUCCCCCCUCGCGACGCCGAGCCACUGCCGAAGCCUUCUCAUCUUCCCCAUCGCGCCGACUUCACUGCUCUCCUCUCCCAAUCUUCGACCGUCACUGCCAACGUCGACUGCUGGACGCCGAGCGCCACCGAUCUUCUCCUUAGGGGUCGAGGAUAGAAGUCGAGCAUCUGAGACGAUCUGUCGCCGGUGCCAUCUGUCGCCGAUUUAGGGAUUCCAGCAGCCUGAUUGAGUGGCUACAUUUGGAUUUGGCCACAAAUUUCGACAUAUUCCUUCAGUAGUGGAUCAACAGGGGAGCAUUUGAGAUUUGGGACAUUGAUUCGAGAUGGGUGUAUCGACGUAGGAUUUUUGGUCACAAUCGACUGAUAAAGUACAUAGAUAUAUCGUGUCACUUGGAGUAUCCUUUCUGCCGGUCCCACGUCACAUCAGAAGAUGGUUUACCUCAUUCUUGAUUUUUUUUUAUAUAUUCUUUAUUGAUUUAGCUUUGUAUUGGUGUUUAGUCAUGUGGCUAUUCUAUUGUUUUGGUGUUGUAUUUGUGUUUAAGUCGUGUCGACAUGCAUUGUGUUGUUUUGGUUAUAUGGGCUUCCUGCUUAUUUGUUCGCUGUGUGUUUAGCACAACCGUGUGGGUUGUUUAAUAUAUAUAACUGCGUAGUUGUGUUUUUAGAACAACCGUGUGGGUUGUUCAAUAUAUAUAACUGCGUGAUUGUGUAAAUUCCAGCCAAGUGGGCUGAUGUAUUUUGUUUGUGAUGUAUUCAUGCUUUAGAUUGUCACUGGUACAGCGGAGAUGCUGCCGAUUUUUCCUCUGAUAGGGACUCUUCUGCAGUGUGACAAUUUAUUAGUAUCAGAGCCACAGAUUUACGAUGUAUAUUUUCUU
Molecule: long non-coding RNA, 1030 nt
Organism: Zingiber officinale
Lineage: Eukaryota; Viridiplantae; Streptophyta; Magnoliopsida; Zingiberales; Zingiberaceae
Exons: 4
Source: RefSeq, a predicted model, not a curated record